This 467-nucleotide ribosomal RNA is filed under the name uncultured bacterium. RNAcentral describes it as "partial 16S ribosomal RNA". It matches the Rfam family "Bacterial small subunit ribosomal RNA", at positions 28 to 506 of the family's 1533-position model. The record is from RNAcentral.
GACGAACGCUGGCGGCGUGCUUAACACAUGCAAGUCGAACGGAAAGGCCCUGCUUUUGUGGGGGGCUCGAGUGGCGAACGGGUGAGUAACACGUGAGUAACCUGCCCUCGACUUUGGGAUAACUUCAGGAAACUGGGGCUAAUACCGGAUAGGAGCUCCUGCUGCAUGGUGGGGGUUGGAAAGUUUCGGCGGUUGGGGAUGGACUCGCGGCGUAUCAGCUUGUUGGUGGGGUAGUGGCUUACCAAGGCUUUGCCGGGUAGCCGGCCUGAGAGGGUGAACGGCCACAUUGGGAACGGGAUGCGGCCCUGAGUCAUCCGGGAGGAAGGAGGGGGGAAUAUUGGAGAAUGGGCGGAAGCCUGAUGCAGCACCGCGGAGUGCGGGACGACGGCGUUCGGGUUGUAAACGGCUUGCGCCUGUGACGCAGCGUGGGGGAGGUAAAUGGGGAGAGAGGCCCGGCUUAACUACGU